RNAcentral lists this ribosomal RNA (481 nucleotides) under uncultured bacterium. RNAcentral describes it as "partial 16S ribosomal RNA". It matches the Rfam family "Bacterial small subunit ribosomal RNA", at positions 28 to 523 of the family's 1533-position model. The record is from RNAcentral.
GACGAACGCUGGCGGCGUGCUUAACACAUGCAAGUCGAACGGUAAGGCUCCAGCUUGCUGGGGUACACGAGUGGCGAACGGGUGAGUAACACGUGGGUGACCUGCCCUGCACUUCGGGAUAAGCCUGGGAAACUGGGUCUAAUACCGGAUAGGACCGCACCGUGAGGGUGUGGUGGAAAGUUUUUUCGGUGUGGGAUGGGCCCGCGGCCCAUCAGCUUGUUGGUGGGGUAAUGGCCUACCAAGGCGGCGACGGGUAGCCGGCCUGAGAGGGUGGACGGCCAAAUUGGGACUGAGACACGGCCCAGACUCCUACGGGAGGCAGCAGUGGGGAAUAUUGCACAAUGGGCGGAAGCCUGAUGCAGCGACGCCGCGUGGGGGAUGACGGCCUUCGGGUUGUAAACUCCUUUCACCAUCGACGAAGGGUUUCUGACGGUAGAUGGAGAAGAAGCACCGGCUAACUACGUGCCAGCAGCCGCUGUAA